UUGGAUUUCUUUCAAUGAACACUGUGGAGUCGGACGAUUUCCCGAUGAAUGAGGAAAAAUUACUCAGUAACAGAGAUCAACCUGGACUCAGUGGAGACUUCUCGAAUCCAUAACACGACCAAAGGUGUGGGAAUUCUACAGGGACCAUGUGAAGGACCCUUCUCCCCACUGAAUGGAGUAGAGUCUUUAGGAAGAAGGCCUCACACAGCAUUGGGUCUCGCCUUUGCCAUCUUUUCUUCCACAUGAGGGCACAGGGUUUGUCCUCUUCAGGUUAAUCACUGUAUACCUCCACUACAAAUGAAUCUUCCCAGCAUGACUACACUGCGUAUCAGUCUAACCCCAUGUUCCUGUGGUGACAAAGUAUAUUUGAGUGUUUUCCAAGUCACUGGGUCGUGGACUAGAGCCAUGCACUGGACUACGUGGGAACCAGCCACCUUAAGAGCCAUGCCAUCAGAUGAUCCUUUGGACACUUUAAUACUCAUCUUUAUUAAUGAUUUUCAAAAAUUGAUUGAGCUAUGUACUAUUAGUUGAGGACAUAUUAAA
Long non-coding RNA from Tupaia belangeri chinensis (Chinese tree shrew), 543 nucleotides. RefSeq lists it as uncharacterized. The record is from RefSeq and is a predicted model, not a curated record. The transcript is spliced from 4 exons. NCBI's taxonomy places the organism in Eukaryota, Metazoa, Chordata, Mammalia, Scandentia, Tupaiidae.